RNAcentral lists this ribosomal RNA (291 nucleotides) under uncultured bacterium. Its description in RNAcentral is "partial 16S ribosomal RNA". It matches the Rfam family "Archaeal small subunit ribosomal RNA", at positions 456 to 747 of the family's 1478-position model. The record is from RNAcentral.
GGCCAGCAGCGCGGUAAUACCGGCAGCUCAAGUGAUGUCCCAUAUUAUUGGGCCUAAAGCGUCCGUAGCUGGCCGACCAAGUCUCCCGGGAAAUCCACCCGCCCAACGGGUGGGCGUCCGGUAGAAACUGGCCGGCUUGGAACCGGAAGGCUCAGAGAGUACGUCCGGGGUAGGAGUGAAAUCCCGUAAUCCCGGACGGACCACCGAUGGCGAAAGCAUCGCGAGAAAACGGAUCCGACAGUGAGGGACGAAAGCUAGGGUCUCGAACCGGAUUAGAUACCCCGGUAGUCC